GACGAACGCUGGCGGCGUGCCUAAUACAUGCAAGUCGAACGCACUCUCGUUUAGAUUGACGGAGUUUGCUCCUGAUUGAUAAACAUUUGAGUGAGUGGCGGACGGGUGAGUAACACGUGGGUAACCUGCCCUAAAGUGGGGGAUAACAUUUGGAAACAGAUGCUAAUACCGCAUAAAACCUAACACCGCAUGGUGUAGGGUUGAAAGAUGGUUUCGGCUAUCACCUUAGGAUGGACCCGCGGUGCAUUAGUUAGUUGGUGAGGUAAAGGCUCACCAAGACCGUGAUGCAUGGCCGACCUGAGAGGGUAAUCGGCCACACUGGGACUGAGACACGGCCCAGACUCCUACGGGAGGCAGCAGUAGGGAAUCUUCCACAAUGGACGAAAGUCUGAUGGAGCAACGCCGCGUGAGUGAAGAAGGUUUUCGGAUCGUAAAACUCUGUUGUUGGAGAAGAAUGUAUCUGAUAGUAACUGAUCAGGUAGUGACGGUAUCCAACCAGAAAGCCACGGCUAACUACGUG
RNAcentral lists this ribosomal RNA (520 nucleotides) under uncultured bacterium. RNAcentral's name for it is "partial 16S ribosomal RNA". It matches the Rfam family "Bacterial small subunit ribosomal RNA", at positions 28 to 507 of the family's 1533-position model. The record is from RNAcentral.